GAUUUCCCUAGUAACGGCGAGUGAAGAGGAAAGAGCUCAAAGUUGGAACCUGUUUGGCCUAGCUAAACCGGAUUGUAGACUGUAGAAGUGUUUUCCAGGCAAGCCGAGUAAAUAAGUCCUUUGGAACAGGGCAUCAUAGAGGGUGAGAAUCCCGUCUUUGGCUUGAGCAUUUGCCUUUUGUGAUACGCUUUCAAAGAGUCAGGUUGUUUGGGAAUGCAGCCUAAAUUGGGUGGUAAAUCUCACCUAAAGCUAAAUAUUGGCGAGAAACCGAUAGCGAACAAGUACCGUGAGGGAAAGAUGAAAAGAACUUUGAAAAGAGAGUUAAACAGUAUGUGAAAUUGUUAAAAGGGAACCGUUUGGAGCCAGACUGGCUUGUCUGUAAUCAAUCUAGGCUUCGGCCUGGAUGCACUUGCAGGCUAUGCCUGCCAACGACAAUUUGACUUGAGGGAAAAAACUAGGGGAAAUGUGGCCCACUUGUGGGUGUUAUAGUCCCUUAGAAAAUACCUUGGGUUGGAUUGAGGAACGCAGCGAAUGCUUAUUGGCGAGUUUUCCAGGAAGGUUUUCUGAGGUACUACGGUAUCAAGGUUGAUCUUUUUGGUUAUACUUCUAUUCGCUUAGGUUGUUGGCUUAAUGACUCUAAAUGACCCGUCUUGAAACACGGACCAAGGAGUCCACCAUUAGUGCGAGUAUUUGGGUGCCAAACCCAUAUGCGUAAGGAAACUGAUUGAUACGAAUCCAUUAAGGAGGCAGUAUCGUCCGGCGCUGACGUUUUAUACUGAAUUGACCGAGACAAAGCACUAAUGAUGGGACCCGAAAGAUGGUGAACUAUGCCUGAAUAGGGUGAAGCCAGAGGAAACUCUGGUGGAGGCUCGUAGCGAUUCUGACGUGCAAAUCGAUCGUCAAAUUUGGGUAUAGGGGGCGAAAGACUAAUCGAACCAUCUAGUAGCUGGUCCCCGGCCGAAGUUUCCCUCAGGAUAGCAGAAACUUAUACGCAGUUUUAUGUGGUAAAGCGAAUGAUUGGGGUCUCGGGGGGCUAAACGCCCUUCAACCACUCUCAAACUUUAAAUAUGUAAGACGACCUGUUUGCUUAAUUGAAGCAGGUCAUUGAAUGCAGAGUUUCUAGUGGGCCAUUUUUGGUAAGCAGAACUGGCGAUGCGGGAUGAACCGAACGCAGAGUUAAGGUGCCGGAAUACACGCUCAUCAGACACCACAAAAGGUGUUAGUUCAUCUAGACAGCAGGACGGUGGCCAUGGAAGUCGGAAUCCGCUAAGGAGUGUGUAACAACUCACCUGCCGAAUGAACUAGCCCUGAAAAUGGAUGGCGCUUAAGCGUGUUACCCAUACUCUGCCGUUAUUGUAAAAGCGAAGCAAUAACGAGUAGGCAGGCGUGGAGGUUUUUAUAAACUGUUAAGAAGCUC
RNAcentral lists this ribosomal RNA (1417 nucleotides) under Rhizopus arrhizus. RNAcentral describes it as "partial large subunit ribosomal RNA". It matches the Rfam family "Eukaryotic large subunit ribosomal RNA", at positions 73 to 1424 of the family's 3401-position model. Lineage: Eukaryota; Fungi; Mucoromycota; Mucoromycetes; Mucorales; Rhizopodaceae. The record is from RNAcentral.